CCUACGGGAGGCAGCAGUGAGGAAUAUUGGACAAUGGGCGCAAGCCUGAUCCAGCCAUGCCGCGUGCAGGAUGACGGUCCUAUGGAUUGUAAACUGCUUUUAUACAGGAAGAAACACCUCUACGUGUAGAGACUUGACGGUACUGUAAGAAUAAGGAUCGGCUAACUCCGUGCCAGCAGCCGCGGUAAUACGGAGGAUCCAAGCGUUAUCCGGAAUCAUUGGGUUUAAAGGGUCCGUAGGCGGUUUAGUAAGUCAGUGGUGAAAGCCCAUCGCUCAACGGUGGAACGGCCAUUGAUACUGCUAGACUUGAAUUAUUAGGAAGUAACUAGAAUAUGUAGUGUAGCGGUGAAAUGCUUAGAGAUUACAUGGAAUACCAAUUGCGAAGGCAGGUUACUACUAAUUGAUUGACGCUGAUGGACGAAAGCGUGGGUAGCGAACAGGAUUAGAUACCCUGGUAGUCCACGCCGUAAACGAUGGAUACUAGCUGUUGGGCGCAAGUUCAGUGGNGUAGAGAAGAGAUAAGUAAUACCACCUCGGGAGGUACGGAACGACGAGUUAGUAAACGUACGAAUAGUAAGUUAGUACGGCGUGAGACGUUAGCCGACGGACGACGACGAGGGAGGAGGG
Molecule: ribosomal RNA, 627 nt
Filed under: uncultured bacterium
Lineage: Bacteria
Description: bacterial SSU rRNA
Rfam family: Bacterial small subunit ribosomal RNA (bases 1-533)
Source: RNAcentral